Long non-coding RNA from Tachysurus vachellii, 401 nucleotides. RefSeq lists it as uncharacterized. The record is from RefSeq and is a predicted model, not a curated record. The transcript is spliced from 3 exons. Lineage: Eukaryota; Metazoa; Chordata; Actinopteri; Siluriformes; Bagridae.
CCACAAACCAAGACAAGCAUUGCCAUAGUAUCCUGAAUACUAACUAUGAUUCUGACCUGAACCUGAGGACUUUUUUAUAACACUCUAACUGAACACUUACAAAGAUUACAAAUCAUCUGGUGUGUUAUUGGGAAAUAUUCAGGAUGAAGAGAAAAGAACUGAGAAUUGUGUUCAUACUGAGUAUCAUUCUGAGAUCUGUAACUGGAGAAACCACAACAUCAGCUACAACAUCAGCACCUACAAACGAUACAGCUACUACACCAACAAAUGCUACUACUGGUAAUGUAACAGUUUCGACAGAAUCUACAACACCAGCACUUACAAACGCUACAGCUACUACGCAAGCAAAUGCUACUACUGGUAAUGUAACAGUUUCGACAGAAUCUACAACACCAGCACUU